Molecule: ribosomal RNA, 429 nt
Filed under: uncultured bacterium
Lineage: Bacteria
Description: bacterial SSU rRNA
Rfam family: Bacterial small subunit ribosomal RNA
Source: RNAcentral
GUGGGGAAUAUUGCGCAAUGGGGGGAACCCUGACGCAGCGACGCCGCGUGAGCGAAGAAGGCCUUCGGGUCGUAAAGCUCUGUCAUUGGGGACGAAGGUAAGUGACGGUACCCAAAGAGGAAGCCCCGGCUAACUACGUGCCAGCAGCCGCGGUAAUACGUAGGGGGCGAGCGUUGUCCGGAAUUACUGGGCGUAAAGGGUGCGUAGGCGGUCCAUUAAGUCAGGUGUGAAAAACCUGGGCUCAACCGAGGUAUUGCACUUGAAACUGGUGGGCUUGAGUGCAGGAGAGGGAAGUGGAAUUCCUAGUGUAGCGGUGAAAUGCGUAGAUAUUAGGAGGAACACCAGUGGCGAAGGCGGCUUCCUGGACUGUAACUGACGCUGAGGCACGAAAGCGUGGGGAGCAAACAGGAUUAGAAACCCUAGUAGUCC